Molecule: long non-coding RNA, 2119 nt
Organism: Hermetia illucens (black soldier fly)
Lineage: Eukaryota; Metazoa; Arthropoda; Insecta; Diptera; Stratiomyidae
Exons: 4
Source: RefSeq, a predicted model, not a curated record
UCCUAAUACGCUAUCAAUUAUUUCUGGCUUUUCAUUGAACUUGUAAAUGUUCAGGGCUUUUUUCUUAAAAUUAGUUGUAAGCGAGACGUUAAAAUAACACAAUAGAAAAACCCAAUAAAAAUUUAAAAAGAAAAGAAAAUCACAUUUUAAUAUAAAACAAUAUUAAGGAAGUGUGAAACGAAUGGAGAAAUCAAUCUGAAUAAAUAUUGUUUUGUUCGAUGUACUUUUCAGAAAAUCCCCAUUCAAAUAACAAUAAAAAAUCAAAACAAAAUACCAAACUAUAAUAUCAAAAGACAAUCUAAGAAACAAAAAAAGGCUCUCGAUUACGUUUCCAAUGCCAAUUAUCGCGUGACAAAACGUAAAUCCAUCACACGGGACUCUACCGAGUCAAAAAUGAAUACGAGAGUCAGAUAUUCACUAGGGCAUAUACCAAUGAGAAAUUGUGUGUGAGAGAUAUUUAGAUGGGAGAUUUGAGGGAUGAGAGACAGAAAUAACCCCUGUACUGUGAGUUAUUAGGCGUUAUAGUUACUUAAAUUAAGUUAAUUUAGAUAUAUUUCAUAUUAUCCUACUACACUUGUACUUGUACAAUUAUCUCAAGUUUCAAUUAUUAAUCAACUAAUUUCAAUAUCUGUGUAAUUAUUUAGCGAGGCAUAAUCUUGUAAUCGCGCACUAUCCAAUUUGAAUUAUGUUGAAACCGAAACUGUUGUUGAAUGCAAAAUAUUACCAAAACUAAACCAAACAGACCGAAAAGUUAAAGAAAUUUGUGUGAUGAUCUUUAUGUAAAUGGGGUCUUCGGGCACUUGUUUGUUUCUAUGAUUAUCGCAACGAACCUGUCUCUCAACUAGUGUCGCGUUCACAACAUAAAUCAUUGUUCCGUAUGCAGUUUUUGCACGUUCCACAAAAUAGGUGUUUAGGUAUUGGAAAGUUAAGUAUCUUUGACUGUCAGGCAAAUACCCUAAAACUAUGAUUGCAAUUAUCAUAGAUAUCAAAUGAAAAGGCUACAUAAAAGCUUUGUCCUAAGUUGGGGAAAAGAUGAUCGUACUCAUUCUACGGUUCAUUGUUGUACUACCACAAAACAUCUCUUCUGCUCAGCCACGUCCAUUGAAGAUUGGUACGUAUUCGAUUUUGACAAACUUUGAAUGAACGAAACAAUUCUUUUCUAGAAUUUUCCAAGAAAGAAACAAAUCUCUUCUCCUACCAGAUUCAUUGGUACGUAUUAAAAUAAAAGAGAAAAAAAACAAGAAAAUUCAUUUGUUAACAAUAAUUUUUCUUCCUAAAAUACACAAAAAAAAAAAAGAUGAAUGAAAUGUUCGUCGGUUUGAUAGUUUCUGGGAAGUACAUUAAAGAAAAAAACUAAAUAUUUAUGAUGUGUCCGAAAGUUUUAAUUAUAAUUAAAUAAUAUAAGUGCGUCCGGUGUUAUCACGAAUUAAUAUCAAUACCAAAGUCCAUAUUUAAACGAAUCAACGAGAUUAUUGCAAGUUCACACUGCAAAAAGAUAGAACUAUCUAAAAUCAAAUAAAAAUAAUUUAAAUAAAAAUUUUAAAAAUAUUUAAAAAAAAAUAUAUAUCGAGCCCGAUCGGUGAGUAAAAAUAUUUUGUUUGAAUUUCAACAAUGAUGCUGAAUGUAUUCUAUUCUGUCGGAGUCACUUCAACAUAUCCACACGUAAAUAUGCAUUAAAUUGCCUUAAGAUACUAUAAAAUCUCGAUUGCGUCUAAGAAAAAUACAUUCAGUGUCAACGUUUUCUAGUCAUGUGCUAUACACACAGUUUCUUUUUAAUGUUUUUUUUUUUUGAUUCCUUCUGAAAUUCACAAAACAAAUCCAAAGUAAAUUGAUGUAGAUUAAGGCAAUGAAAAUCUUAUUAAGAAUCCUUGAAAAAUAUGAAAGAGUUAUAUAAAAAUGCAUAUAUAAUUUAUAAUAUAGAAAAAAAGGGUAUAAAUUGACAAAAAUGAUGUUAUACAGGCUGUAUGUAAGUGACAAAUAUUUAAUUUUUGAUAAAACUAGUUUUAAGUGAUAUUUCUAAGUGAUCUGGUUACUUUUCAAAUGAUAUUUGACAGAUAUUGAACGAGAUUUUUUGUUGAGUAUGAGUGAGUUGAUAUGGUUGGCUGCGAUGAAAACAGGA